UCGGACGCUUAACCGACUGCGCCACCCAGGCGCCCCUAUUCACACUUUCUUAAAUGUAGACUCUGCUAAGCCAAAGAAGUGGAUUACUUCUGAAGACAGAUAUCCUCUAGGGGAACAGCUUGCCUCUGGUUCUAAAUGCUAUAAAGUCUCCUUAGUUCAAGCUCCACAUAGUUUAAAUUCCGGAGGGACGAGUCUGAGGUUUGCUUUGCAAACCCUUUCUUCAUAGAUGGUGAAAAUUAAUGCUAUAAAUAAUAUUCUGGUAGUGUCUCGGGUGUGUGUGAUUUAUAACACAACUAUAUCCCAGGCAUCUAAGAAGUAUCAUUAAGAUAUUUAGUUAAAUUAAACACUAAUUUAUUAUUUAGACUGCUAGGUUCUAAGAGGAAAAUGGAAAAAUUGUGCAUUCUGGUAUGGGUUAUUGAAAUUGCAAAUCUGGCUCAUUUUGAAGAUCUCUCUCAACCACAGUUGAGUGAAUGAACCAAUGAACAAAGAAAUAUCAUUGCCUGAUUUGAGUUAUUGUAUGUAUCUCAAUAAAUUAAAUAAAAUUUCUUUUAUGCCCCAAAUAUUUCCAUCAUGGUGAUUUCUAAAGAAUUGCAUUUGGUUCAGGGCAGUUGUAUGGUAAUCUUUUGCUAUUCAAGCAACUUUGAUUGAGUGCAUGACUGUGAGCCAAGUAAAUUUAUUAGCUUGUUUCAUUGAACUGCAUUUGUACAAUGAGACAAAUUGUUUCAGCCAGGUUUCGAAGUGCUUCUCAUCCACUGAGAAGUGACUUGGGCAAUAAAGCCACAGUAAUCAGAUCUUCCUGAACACUUAAUAAUUGUACAUGGAAAACUGUAUACUGAUAAUAGCACUUACUAAAUAGUAUAGAGACGUUUUCAAUGCUAAUAAAACAUAUGGUAUUAAAUAGAUCAUUUGAAACGUGCAUGUACCCUUUCUAGAUAUAUCUGCUGGCUGGUUUUAAUGUGCAUGUGUGUGAUAGACCCUAGAUUUUCACCUAAGAUUUUUGUCAAGAUUUUUGUUGGUUUGAACUAUGCCCUUACUCCGAAAUCCAGAACACAUUUUCCAAGGUCUUAAUAAAUUCUACUCAAAGCAACAUUGCCAUCCACGGUUAGUCAGGCAUCUCAGCAAUGACCCUCUGGGAGGAGAUCUAAAACACUGACGGUAGAGUUUUAUUGUUGUCUUAGGAAAAGAAAAUAAUGGAUAUCCUUCAUUCAGUGUUCCUUUUCUGCGUAUGAAAUUCAAUAAGGUGAGUGAAUGACUACUUUAGUAGUUAAGGGACAAAGAAAACACUUCGUUUCUAAUGUUAGCUAGGUACUUCAUUGUGUGCCAGUGACUAUGUUGAGUGCUAUACCUGCUAUUUCAUAGUCAUUCUUGAUCCUCAUCACAAGGUUAGUUUUGUCUCUAUUUUUUAUGUAGCAGGAAACUGAAGUAUAGAAUAGUUAAAUGACUUGCCCAAGGUCAUGCAGUUGGUAAGUAGUAUAGCUGUAAGGCUCCAAAUCCUGGAGACAGAGCCUCAUACUUUACCAUUGCUGUUGUAAAGAAAUGAAUAUUUUGAAAUAAUUCUUCAUGUCCUUGUCUUUUGGUUAUGAAAUUUUUCUUUUCUGUAGUCCUUCCACCAUUAGGGUCAGAUCAUAAGGCUUUUUCUGCUAAGGAAAGGAAAAAAUAUCCAUCCGUCUGUAGAAAAGAAGCUCAUGGGUUGAGUCAUGUAUUAGAGAAUUGUCAAAUAAAUAUGUUGUACACCUGAAACUAAUAUAACAUUGUAUGUUAGUUAUACUUCAAUAAAAAAUUUUGAUUGAUGAGAAAAAAAGGAAAAACUCAUUGGAUACGUAAGAAGGAGGCUAUGACAUAGAAUUCCUUCCAGAAGGGAAAGUUAGGUAGAAAAUCCUUCUGGUGCUGUCAGAAGAAAGGAGCUGAGAAAGAGAGGAGAACCAGACAAGUUUCUUGGCUCUCCAUAUCCUCAGGGCUGAACAGGGGUGGGUGUGGUUAAGCAUCUAAACAGGUUUGGGGCUGUCAGAGGGUAUCCAGGCUGGGGAGACUAUAUGUUGUUGAGGGAAGCCUUGAGUUUGUUAUGGCACCUUGUUCAACACAACACCAUGGCCUGGGCUCAGUUUAGAAGUAAUGUCAGGGAGGAGUCCCUAGGCAGCUUAGUUGGGUAUGUGUCUGACUCUUGAUUUCAGCUCAGGUCAUGAUCUCAGGGUUGUUGAGAUUGAGCCCCAUGUCAGUCUUUGCAUCGACAGUGAACCUGCUUGGGACUCUCUCUUUUCCUCUCUCUCUGCCCCUCCCCUGCUCAUGCAUGCUCUCUCUCUUUCUCUCUCUCUCUCUCUCUCUCUCAACAAAUAAAUAAACUUAAAAAAAAAGUAAUGUCGGAGAGAGAUGCUUUUAUGGACCGGCCUGAAAUAGUGUCCGUAUUCCCCAUGGCCUGUAUCAUGGCCACUGAAGAGAUGGAGUUCCUCCCCAGUCCUCUUCCAACUCUACGUCAAUGGCUAUCAGCAGAAAUAGAGCCAGAGCAAGCUGGUGCAAGAUGAGACCAGUUCUGGAGAUCAGAAAUCUGAAUCAGUUUCAUUGGGCUAAAGUCAAGAUGCCAGCAGACCUGGUUCCUCCUGGAGGCUGUUUAACUUUUGGGGAUUCCGCUGGAUGAAAACCAUGAUCCACACAAUCAAGGAGAUUAACAAGAGGAAAGAUAUUUUGCCCAACAUCACUUUGGGUUAUCAGAUUUUUGACACCUGUUUCACCAUCUCCAAAUCUGUAGAAGAAGCGUUGGGAUUCCUUACAGGGCGGGAAGAAAACAAGCCCAAUUUUAGAAACAGUACCGGAGCAUUUCUGGCAGGAAUUGUUGGAGUAUGCGGAUCGUCCUUAUCAUCUGCUGUGUCAAGAAUUCUAGGGUUGUAUUACUUACCACAGGUGAGUUAUACCUCUACCUGCUUGAUUCUUAUGGCAAACACCAGUUUCCGUCUUACCUUCACACGGUAGGCAGUGAUAAGAUCCAGUCGGAAGCCAUGGUAUGACUUAUCCACCACUUUGAUUGGAUCUGGAUAGGCACAAUAGCAACGGAUGAUGAUUAUGGAAAAUAUGGAGUGAAAAUUUUAAGGAAAGAAUGGAGAAUGCCAACCUGUAUUGCAACAUUGAGUGCCAACAGUACAACCUGUAUUGCAUUCUCUGAAAUUAUUCCCAAAGCCUCUUCCAAUGAGAAAAUGCAGAACACUGUUGAUGCGGUUGAGUUCCACUGCCAGAGUUGUGCUUUAAGCAUCUGACACUGACCUCAGUCCUUUUGUGCUGGAAAUGGUUCACCAUAACAUAACUGACAGAACAUGGAUAGCCAGUGAAGCCUGGCUUACCUCUGCCCUCAUUGCAAAGCCUGAAUAUUUCCCAUAUUUUGGUGGAAGUAUUGGAUUUGCGAUUCCAAGAGCUGAUAUACCAUGACUCAAAGAAUUUCUUUAUGAUGUACAUCCUGGCAAGGAUCCAAAUGAUGUCCUGAUCGUUGAAUUCUGAUAAAUGGCUUUUAACUGUACUUAGCUGGAUAGCAGUGUUCCUUACAACAUUGACCAUAGAGUGAAUUUGACUGGUAAGGAGGACAGAUUACAUGCCAUGUCUGAUGAAUUCUGUAUUGGAGAGGAGAAGUUGGAAGAUCUUAAAAAUACCUAUCUGGAUGUGUCUCAGCUAAGAAUCACAAUGUCAAACAAGCUGUAUAUUUUCUGACUUAUGCCUUGGAUGGUCUAAGUAGAUGUGAAGAAGGACAUGGGCCAUAUAUGCCAGGAAACACCUGUGCAUACAUAUCUGACUUUGAGCCUUGGCAGUUAAUGUACUAUUUGAAGGGACUUAAGUUUACCACCCAUAACGGAGAGAGAAUAGAAAUUGAUGAAAAUGGAGAUGUGACUAUGACAUUCUAAACUGGCGAUUAGGUGAUAAUGGAGAGGUUGCUUUUGUGAAGGUUGGAGAAUAUAUAUUCACAAACUCUAAGUUUGAGCUCGUGAUGAAAAAGAACAAUGCAACCAUAUUUUGGAGCAAUGGAUCAUCAAAGCUUUUCCAUUUGGUGUGUACUGAUCUAUGUCGUCCUGGGACCCGGAAGGGGAUUCAUCAGGGGGAACCAAUAUGCUGUUUUGACCUCAUCGCAUGUGCUGAUGGACACGUGUCAUGGGAACCAGGUAGA
Molecule: long non-coding RNA, 4141 nt
Organism: Felis catus (domestic cat)
Lineage: Eukaryota; Metazoa; Chordata; Mammalia; Carnivora; Felidae
Exons: 6
Source: RefSeq, a predicted model, not a curated record